Molecule: unclassified non-coding RNA, 258 nt
Filed under: uncultured fungus
Lineage: Eukaryota; Fungi
Description: partial contains 5.8S ribosomal RNA, internal transcribed spacer 2, and large subunit ribosomal RNA
Rfam family: 5.8S ribosomal RNA (bases 1-52)
Source: RNAcentral
AACGCACAUUGCGCCCGCCAGUAUUCUGGCGGGCAUGCCUGUCCGAGCGUCAUUUCAACCCUCGCGCCCCCCGCGGCGCGGCGUUGGGAGACCGGGCGCCUCCGCGCGCGCCGGCCCCCGAAAUCGAUUGGCGGCCCCGCCGCUGCCUCCCCCGCGUAGUAGCACAAGCUCGCGGCGGAGCGCGGCGCGGCCACGCCGUGAAACGAACCCACACCAAAGGUUGACCUCGGAUCAGGUAGGAGUACCCGCUGAACUUAA